GGGGUGGGAGAGACAUGGUCUAGCAGCCAGAUGGUUAAAACCAAUUUAUUUCCUGGGUGCAGGGUGUGGGGUGUUGGAUAUGGAAGGGAGUCCUGAGGUGUAUAGUAGUGAUCAAAUCACAACCAUAAUCGUAACAAUCAUAAUAUUGCCACUGUUCUCAAAUAAAGGAGCAAGUUGUAAUGUUAAUAUCUUCUUCAGGCCGGGCACGGUGGCUCACACCUGUAAUCCCAGCACUUUGGGAGGCCGAGGUGGGUGGAUCACUUGAGGUCAAGCAUUUGAGAUCAGCCUGGCCAACAUGGCGAAACCUUGUCUCUACUAAAAAUACAAAAAUUAGCUGGGUGUGGUGGCACGCGCCUGUAAUCCCAGCUACUCCAGAGGCUGAAGCUCAAGAAUCACUUGAACCCGGGAGUAGGAGGUUGCAGUGAGCCAAGAUCGCGCCAUUGCACUCCAGCCUGGGAGACAGAGUAAGACUCCAUCUCAAAAAAAAAAAAAAACUUAUUUAGUAGUACUACGCCAUACGAAUUAUAAUAUGGUGACCAUAUCCAUUUUCUGAACACCACAGUUUUCAAAAAAGCUAGCGAGUAGUAGUUUUGUUUUUUUAUAAAGACAGGGUCUCACUCUUACAAAGCCCAGCCCAAGCUAGAGUGCAGUGGUGUAAUCACAGCUCACUGCAGCCUCAACCUCCCGGGAUCAAGUGAUCCUCCCGAGCCUCAGUCUCCCAAGUAGCUGGGACUACAGGCGUCCACCACCAAGCCCAGCUAAUUUUUUUAUGUUUUGCAGAGACAAGGUCCCGCUAUGUUUCCCUGGCUGGUCUCAAACUCCUGGGCUCAAGUGAUCCUUCCACCUCGGCCUCCCAAAGUGCUGGGAUUAUAGGCAUGAGUCCCCAAGCCUGGCUGAUAGUAGCAGUUUCUGAAUCUUGUCUGGGGCCCAAAUCUGGCUGAAGAGAGACCCUCUGAUCCUCUCCCCCUUCACUCAGUGAAUGAGGUCACAAAGAGCCACCACCUGGAAGGCAGCUGUGAGGUCACCCACACCCAGUUUGGCAUCUCUGAGCUGUGUGCUGUUGAGAAUGUUCGCUGCUGCCGGCUCUGCUACAUUCCAGUCCCUGCCUGGGUGUUGGCCACACAGGGGUGGAUUAGUUUCCUAGGCCUGCCGAAACAGAUUACCGUAAGCACAGUGACUUAGAACAAGAGUUCAUCUGCUCACAGUUCUGAAGGCCUGAAGUCAGAAACCAAGGGGCUGCCAGGGCCACCUCCCUCCGGAGGCUCCAGGCAAGAAUCUGUCCCUGCGUCUCCCAGCUCUGGGGGCCAAGGGCAUCCCUCCUGGCGGCAUCCUCCAGUCCCUGCCUCGCCUCCUCCUCGAGGUGCCUCUCCUCUGUGUGUCCCUUAGGACACUUGUCACAGGAUUUAGGGCCCAAUGGAUAGGACACUUUUUCAAAAUAAGGUCACAUCCACAGGUUCUGGGAUGUGGAUGUAUCUUUU
Molecule: long non-coding RNA, 1478 nt
Filed under: Homo sapiens (human)
Lineage: Eukaryota; Metazoa; Chordata; Mammalia; Primates; Hominidae
Description: HSALNT0385160
Source: RNAcentral